AGGGUUUGAUCCUGGCUCAGAUUGAACGCUGGCGGCAUGCCUUACACAUGCAAGUCGAACGGCAGCACGGGAGCUUGCUCCUGGUGGCGAGUGGCGAACGGGUGAGUAAUAUAUCGGAACGUACCCUAGAGUGGGGGAUAACGCAGCGAAAGUUGCGCUAAUACCGCAUACGAUCUACGGAUGAAAGUGGGGGAUCGCAAGACCUCAUGCUCAUGGAGCGGCCGAUAUCUGAUUAGCUAGUUGGUAGGGUAAAAGCCUACCAAGGCUUCGAUCAGUAGCUGGUCUGAGAGGACGACCAGCCACACUGGAACUGAGACACGGUCCAGACUCCUACGGGAGGCAGCAGUGGGGAAUUUUGGACAAUGGGCGCAAGCCUGAUCCAGCAAUGCCGCGUGAGUGAAGAAGGCCUUCGGGUUGUAAAGCUCUUUUGUCAGGGAAGAAACGGUGGACUCUAAUACAGAUCACUAAUGACGGUACCUGAAGAAUAAGCACCGGCUAACUACGUGCCAGCAGCC
RNAcentral lists this ribosomal RNA (515 nucleotides) under uncultured bacterium. RNAcentral describes it as "bacterial SSU rRNA". It matches the Rfam family "Bacterial small subunit ribosomal RNA", at positions 8 to 516 of the family's 1533-position model. The record is from RNAcentral.